RNAcentral lists this long non-coding RNA (1309 nucleotides) under Gadus morhua (Atlantic cod). RNAcentral's name for it is "lncRNA (ENSGMOG00000026817.1)". Lineage: Eukaryota; Metazoa; Chordata; Actinopteri; Gadiformes; Gadidae. The record is from RNAcentral.
CAUCUGGCAUAUUACUGGAAAUGGCCAAAAAAGAAUCGGCACGUAAACCAGAAGGUUAGCAUAAUUUAGCCGCGUUGCCGACAGAAAAUCUAUAGUCAUUUGGGGUUUUGGCGGUGCCAAGCAGGCUCGCAUUGAUUAACGAUGUGUGUGUGUGUGUGUGUGUGUGUGUGUGUGUGUGUGUGUGUGUGUGUGUGUGUGUGUGUGUGUGUGUGUGUGUGUGUGUGUGUGUGUGUGUGUGUGUGUGUGUGUGUCUGUGUCUGUGUGCAUGUGUGUGUGUGUGUGUGUGUGUGUGUGUGUGUGUGGUUUUGGUAGAUUUACGGUAGACUCAGCGAUAGGGCAAAAAGAGAGAGAGGGCGAGAGACAUAGGAAGGCAGAGCAAAGAGAGAGAGGCUGAUUGAAAUGAGACCUUGAACUUACAGACAGCAGAGCAACAAACGGAGGAAAUGAACCGCAUGACAUGACAAACACACGGGGGGAGAGCACGAUAAGAAAACCAACGAAAACAACCUGGAAAGGGUUAAGUGACCAACAGACUGGCACAGCACCGAGACAUGGCAUGGCACAGUCUAAAUAGGGGGGCGGGAUAGCUCCAGAGAGAGGGCGAGAGAGAGCGCCAGAGAGAGGGCGAGAGAGGGCGAGAGAGAGAGGGCGAGAGAGGGCAAGAGAGAGCGCCAGAGCGAGGGCGAGAGAGAGCGCCAGAGAGAGGGCGAGAGUGGGCAAGAGAGAGCGCCAGAGCGAGGGCGAGAGAGGGCAAGAGAGAGCGCCAGAGCGAGGGCGAGAGAGGGCGAGAGAGAGCGCCAGAGCGAGGGCGAGAGAGAGCGCCAGAGAGAGGGCGAGAGAGGGCAAGAGAGAGCACGAGGGCGAGGGCGAGAGAGAGCGCCAGAGAGAGGGCGAGAGAGGGCAAGAGAGAGCGCCAGAGCGAGGGCGAGAGAGGGCGAGAGAGAGAGGGCGAGAGUGGGCAAGAGAGAGCGCCAGAGAGGGGGCGAGAGAGGGCAAGAGAGAGCGCCAGAGAGGGGGCGAGAGAGGGCAAGAGAGAGCGCCAGAGAGGGGGCAAGAGAGGGCAAGAGAGAGCGCCAGAGAGGGGGCGAGAGAGGGCGAGAGAGAGCGCCAGAGCGAGGACGAGAGAGGGCGAGAGAGAGAGCGAGCGAGCCGGAGCAUCAUGAAGGGUUACAGAAGACACACAGACACACCCCAGAGGGAGCCCCGAAGCAUCAGCUACCGCCCGGUAGAGGGGAACAGCAAUCAGGCGCACCUGGCCGCUAUCAGGGCUCGUUACUGCCCUGCUGAACCAGCUGCUGCAACAGACUGA